GCCCCCGUGGCGAAAUUGGUAUACGCAGGAGACUUAAAAUCUCCAGCUCUCAAAAGGGGCGUGCCGGUUCGAGUCCGGCCGGGGGCACCA
Molecule: transfer RNA, 90 nt
Filed under: Acidobacteriota bacterium
Lineage: Bacteria; Pseudomonadati; Acidobacteriota
Also listed under: 1 other name
Description: Acidobacteria bacterium tRNA-Leu
Rfam family: tRNA
About the family: Transfer RNA (tRNA) molecules are approximately 80 nucleotides in length. Their secondary structure includes four short double-helical elements and three loops (D, anti-codon, and T loops). Further hydrogen bonds mediate the characteristic L-shaped molecular structure. tRNAs have two regions of fundamental functional importance: the anti-codon, which is responsible for specific mRNA codon recognition, and the 3' end, to which the tRNAs corresponding amino acid is attached (by aminoacyl-tRNA synthetases). tRNAs cope with the degeneracy of the genetic code in two manners: having more than one tRNA (with a specific anti-codon) for a particular amino acid; and 'wobble' base-pairing, i.e. permitting non-standard base-pairing at the 3rd anti-codon position.
Source: RNAcentral